GCGGUGGGGGGCGCUGCUGUUAGGCAGUCUUUAUUAGCCAAGAAUGUAACACAGGGCAAGUGCUUUUCAUAUGAAUAGCAAUAGGACUCAAUAAGUCAAAAAAUUGUGCAGAAUAGAAAAUUCGUAAGUGGAGCACCCGGUAGGGCUGGGAAUAGUGUCUCAGAUUGUCUCUCAGGGCAUUUUCGGUAAGAAACCAUCCGGAUCAUGGGUAAGGUGGGCAUUUAGAAAUCCCACAACUUAAUUCGCCGCAGGCAAGAAGUAAGCACGAAUAGAGAGAUGAAUCAUUCCAGGGUACAUUUGGAGUCGAGUAUUAACGUCAGUUCCCGAGAGUAUUAACAACAGCGAAGGCAUCUAGCGAGGACAGUUUGAACAGUAAGGGACGAAAGCUAGGGGCGCAAAAGGGAUUAGAUACCCGGGUAGUCCUAGCAGUAAACGAUACUCACUAGGCGUCGGUCCCUCCGCGAGAGUUGUUGGUGCUGAAGGGAAGCCGAGGAGCGAGCCACCUGGGAAGUAUGGUCGCAAGGCUGAAACUUAAAGGAAUUGGCGGGGGAGCACCACAACGGGUGGAGCGUGCGGUUCAAUUGGAUUCA
This 590-nucleotide ribosomal RNA is filed under the name uncultured archaeon. RNAcentral's name for it is "bacterial SSU rRNA". The stretch from base 152 to 590 matches the Rfam family "Archaeal small subunit ribosomal RNA", at positions 1 to 914 of the family's 1478-position model. The record is from RNAcentral.